CUUCUAACUUCCGCAGCACAUAUACUAAAAUUGAAACAAUACAGAGAAGAUUAGCAUGAUCCCUGAGCAAGGAUGAUGUGCAAAUUCGUGAAGUGUUCCAUGUUUUU
Loxodonta africana (African savanna elephant) is the source of this 107-nucleotide small nuclear RNA. The record is from Ensembl. Lineage: Eukaryota; Metazoa; Chordata; Mammalia; Proboscidea; Elephantidae.